GCUUUCCUGUGGCUCAGUUGGUAGAGCAUUGCACCAACGACAUAAUUGUGUUGGUUCAAAUCCCAGGGAAAGCA
Molecule: non-coding RNA, 74 nt
Organism: Danionella cerebrum
Lineage: Eukaryota; Metazoa; Chordata; Actinopteri; Cypriniformes; Danionidae
Source: the annotation of a GenBank genome assembly